This 424-nucleotide ribosomal RNA is filed under the name uncultured Diversisporaceae. Its description in RNAcentral is "SSU rRNA". It matches the Rfam family "Eukaryotic small subunit ribosomal RNA", at positions 459 to 886 of the family's 1831-position model. Lineage: Eukaryota; Fungi; Glomeromycota; Glomeromycetes; Diversisporales. The record is from RNAcentral.
GGGAGGUAGUGACAAUAAAUAACAAUACGGGGCUCAUUUGGGUCUCGUAAUUGGAAUGAGUACAAUUUAAAUCUCUUAACGAGGAACAAUUGGAGGGCAAGUCCGGUGCCAGCAGCCGCGGUAAUUCCAGCUCCAAUAGCGUAUAUUAAAGUUGUUGCAGUUAAAAAGCUCGUAGUUGAACUUCGGGGUCUACCCAUUGGUCAGGCUUAAUUGUCUGCACUGGUGAGAUGGAUCUCUACCUUCUGAGGAACUUUCAUGCCAUUUAUUUGGUGUGGUUGGAAAUCAGGACUGUUACUUUGAAAAAAUUAGAGUGUUUAAAGCAGGCUCACGCUUGAAUACAUUAGCAUGGAAUAAUGAAAUAGGACAUCCGAUUCUAUUUUGUUGGUUUCUAAGAUCGAUGUAAUGAUUAAUAGGGAUAGUUGGG